CCCACUUCCUCCCUCUCUUUCCCCAUAAUAAAGAUACCAUUUUCAACUCAUUAUUCCCUUAAGUUCCCUCUAGUUUAAUCUACUCAAGGCUGUUUUUUUUUUUUGGUUUAUUGAGAUGGGUUUUUGGAAUUGGAAGUGUUUGUUUCUGGGUUUUCUUCUAAUGUGUGUUUCUUUUAAAAAUGGAGUUACUGUGGAAGCUAGUAGUAGGCCCUUUUCAAUCUUCCCAAUACUCAAGCUUCAAAAAGAUUUUAAGGGAUAUUAUAAUUCAGAGAUUUUUGCAACAAUGGGAAUUGAAUGCAAGUGUUGUGAUGGGAUUGGAGGUAAAUGCUCUACUGAGUUUGCUACUUCUUGCUCUAAUCUCCAUUGUUCCCCUUGGAAACAAUAUUAAAUCCAAUCUCUCUUUCAUUUCUAGCAAUUCUCUCUUUAUUUUUCUUGUAAAAUACAUAAGAGAUAAUAAUAUAGAGUAGGAGUAUUUGGAGAUGAACUAUGUCUAUGAUAUUAUAUACAAUACAUGAAGUCAUUUUCUAUGGUCCA
Molecule: non-coding RNA, 534 nt
Organism: Benincasa hispida (wax gourd)
Lineage: Eukaryota; Viridiplantae; Streptophyta; Magnoliopsida; Cucurbitales; Cucurbitaceae
Source: RefSeq, a predicted model, not a curated record